AUAUAUAAAUUUAACAUAAUUUAAAAUAUUGAUUUUGUAAAUCAAAAUUGAAUAACUUAAGCUUCCAAAGCUUAUAUUUA
RNAcentral lists this transfer RNA (80 nucleotides) under Opisthopatus cinctipes. Its description in RNAcentral is "tRNA-Thr". The record is from RNAcentral. Lineage: Eukaryota; Metazoa; Onychophora; Udeonychophora; Euonychophora; Peripatopsidae.